GUGGGGAAUAUUGGGCAAUGGGCGAAAGCCUGACCCAGCAACGCCGCGUGAAGGAAGAAGGUCUUCGGAUCGUAAACUUCUAUCCUUGGUGAAGAUAAUGACGGUAGCCGAGAAGGAAGCACCGGCUAACUACGUGCCAGCAGCCGCGGUAAUACGUAGGGGGCAAGCGUUGUCCGGAAUGAUUGGGCGUAAAGGGCGCGUAGGCGGCCUGGUAAGUCUGGAGUGAAAGUCCUGCUUUUAAGGUGGGAAUUGCUUUGGAUACUGUCGGGCUUGAGUGCAGGAGAGGUAAGUGGAAUUCCCGGUGUAGCGGUGAAAUGCGUAGAGAUCGGGAGGAACACCAGUGGCGAAGGCGACUUACUGGACUGUAACUGACGCUGAGGCGCGAAAGUGUGGGGAGCAAACAGGAUUAGAAACCCUUGUAGUCC
RNAcentral lists this ribosomal RNA (425 nucleotides) under uncultured bacterium. RNAcentral's name for it is "partial 16S ribosomal RNA". It matches the Rfam family "Bacterial small subunit ribosomal RNA", at positions 354 to 796 of the family's 1533-position model. The record is from RNAcentral.